Molecule: ribosomal RNA, 433 nt
Filed under: uncultured bacterium
Lineage: Bacteria
Description: partial 16S ribosomal RNA
Rfam family: Bacterial small subunit ribosomal RNA
Source: RNAcentral
AACGAACGCUGGCGGCAUGCCUAACACAUGCAAGUCGAACGAGACCUUCGGGUCUAGUGGCGCACGGGUGCGUAACGCGUUGGAACCUGCCCUUAGGUUCGGAAUAACUCCCCGAAAGGGGUGCUAAUACCGGAUAAUGUCUUCGGACCAAAGAUUUAUCGACUUUGGAUGGGCCCGCGUUGGAUUAGCUAGUUGGUAGGGUAAAAGCCUACCAAGGCGACGAUCCAUAGCUGGUCUGAGAGGAUGAUCAGCCACACUGGGACUGAGACACGGCCCAGACUCCUACGGGAGGCAGCAGUGGGGAAUAUUGGACAAUGGGCGAAAGCCUGAUCCAGCAAUGCCGCGUGAGUGAUGAAGGCCUUAGGGUUGUAAAGCUCUUUUACCCGGGAUGAUAAUGACAGUACCGGGAGAAUAAGCUCCGGCUAACUCCGUG